AUUGAACGCUGGCGGCAGGCCUAACACAUGCAAGUCGAGCGGAUGAAGGGAGCUUGCUCCUGGAUUCAGCGGCGGACGGGUGAGUAAUGCCUAGGAAUCUGCCUGGUAGUGGGGGAUAACGUCCGGAAACGGGCGCUAAUACCGCAUACGUCCUGAGGGAGAAAGUGGGGGAUCUUCGGACCUCACGCUAUCAGAUGAGCCUAGGUCGGAUUAGCUAGUUGGUGAGGUAAAGGCCCACCAAGGCGACGAUCCGUAACUGGUCUGAGAGGAUGAUCAGUCACACUGGAACUGAGACACGGUCCAGACUCCUACGGGAGGCAGCAGUGGGGAAUAUUGGACAAUGGGCGAAAGCCUGAUCCAGCCAUGCCGCGUGUGUGAAGAAGGUCUUCGGAUUGUAAAGCACUUUAAGUUGGGAGGAAGGGCAGUAAGUUAAUACCUUGCUGUUUUGACGUUACCAACAGAAUAAGCACCGGCUAACUUCGUG
Molecule: ribosomal RNA, 484 nt
Filed under: uncultured bacterium
Lineage: Bacteria
Description: partial 16S ribosomal RNA
Rfam family: Bacterial small subunit ribosomal RNA
Source: RNAcentral